This 495-nucleotide ribosomal RNA is filed under the name uncultured bacterium. RNAcentral describes it as "partial 16S ribosomal RNA". It matches the Rfam family "Bacterial small subunit ribosomal RNA", at positions 28 to 507 of the family's 1533-position model. The record is from RNAcentral.
GACGAACGCUGGCGGCGUGCCUAAUACAUGCAAGUCGAACGCUGAAGGAGGAGCUUGCUUCUCUGGAUGAGUUGCGAACGGGUGAGUAACGCGUAGGUAACCUGCCUGGUAGCGGGGGAUAACUAUUGGAAACGAUAGCUAUUACCGCAUAAUAGUAGAUGUUGCAUGACAUUUGCUUAAAAGGUGCAAUUGCAUCAUUACCAGAUGGACCUGCGUUGUAUUAGCUGGUUGGUGGGGUAACGGCUCACCAAGGCGACGACACAUAGCCGACCUGAGAGGGGGCACCGCCAAAAUGGGACUGGGACACGGCCCAGAACUCUAAGGGAGGGAGCAGGAGGGAAGCUUCGGCAAGGGACGGAAGGUUGAACGAGCAACGCCGCGGGAGGGAAGAAGGGUGUCGGAUCGUAAAGCUCUGUUGUAAGAGAAGAAAGAGUGUGAGAGUGGAAAGUUCACACUGUGACGGUAGCUUACCAGAAAGGGACGGCUAACUACGUG